Long non-coding RNA from Ahaetulla prasina, 7331 nucleotides. RefSeq lists it as uncharacterized. The record is from RefSeq and is a predicted model, not a curated record. The transcript is spliced from 2 exons. NCBI's taxonomy places the organism in Eukaryota, Metazoa, Chordata, Lepidosauria, Squamata, Colubridae.
CUUAAAGUGCUUCUACUCAGUGACAAGACAAGUGGGAGGGGAAAAAUCUUUAUUUAUGAAGAACCUGAGAUGAAGAAAAAAUUCAGUUGGUCAUCUUAUCAAAGCCUUUGUUCUGCAGAGAAAUAUUCAAGCAUAGCCAAUAUUUCUGUUCUUGAACAAACCUCAGAAAGGAGACCAUAAGCAACUGCUUGAUAACCCUAGUUUUCUUACUCUAAAUCAGAAAAUCCAAUAUAAAAUGUAUAGAUCAUCAUAUACAGCAGUGGAUAAACUAUGUUUGGCAUAUCACAAAUUGUUAGACCAUUUUAGAUAAAACAGACUGCAGUCCAUUCAAUUGCUAUUGCUGCACAAUGUUUUGAGAUUUUUCUUGCCAUUCGUAGCUCUAUGAUCUCACUACUCAAGAGCACCUCUAGUGGUAUCAGAAGGGAUCAAAAGAGGCAACCAAUGAAAAGGAAACCAAUCCAACCCUGUGCUGUUUGGAGGAAAUUUCCUUAAAUAAAAAAUUGGGAUCAACCAGGAUCCAUCUAAGUCAUUUGCAUAUACAGAACAGAGAUCCUUACAGUACUCUCCCUUUCAAUAACACUAUCUUUUGCACUUUCUCUUGGAAAAAUCUCUUGCACAUAUCCCACUGAAAGAGCACAGUAAAUUCUUAUUUUGGAUCCAAAAUUCACUUAUCUUUACCUUUACUUCACAACAUGUCUACAGUUUAGCUUAUUUUCACCCCUUUGGUAGUUGUUCCCAAAUUGUGAAAAGUCUAACAUCAACACAGCAAUAAAUCCAUACACUCAAUUCUAUGAGGAACCACUGAAAUUCCAAGGACCCAGACCACCAUUAAGGAAGGGUACAGAUUCAACUUGGGCGAUUAAGUUCAAAACUAUUAUCAAAGAGCACCGAACAAUCCAUAAUUAUUAUAUUUUUAUUCAUUAAUAUUCACUAACGAGCAUCAUUUGGAUUUUCUACUUAAAACACCAAAACAUAUUUUGUUAAUUCUACUUCUUCCCUUGUUUUCCUUUAAUUUUUACCAAAUCCCUGUUUUUCUCUCUACCAUUCUCUAAAUUUUGCUGCAACAUGGAAGUUUUUAUCAGAAAGGCAGAAGAGCAACAAGAAAAUACAUAAAGAGAAACAGAUCAUCAAGCAGAUUUGAUUACCAUGCACAAUGCAUUCUAUCUAGAUAUACAUACACAUAGCAAAAAAGAUAAAAUAUACAACCAUUUUAAAGAUGGAUAUACCAACUGACAGAUAUAACCUGGUAGAUUUACUCUCCAGAUUCCCCCACUCAGGUUUGUUAAAAUAUUCUUAUUUUAUCUGGCAAAUGAAGGAGCUCAAGGAACCAGGGGUGGAGACACUGAUUUCUUCUGAAGCAAUGUGGAUUCUUCCUUGUGAUUUUGUGGAGGUGACCUUUCCAAAAGUCAGUAGACAAUGGGAAUCAUCACAUCAGUCUACCCUGGAUGGAACUUUUUGACUGUAUAGUUUAUUAAAGAAAAGUAUAGACUCAGAGCCAGGAAACUCGGAGCUCAAAUUUAACCUCAGCCAUUCAUUCAUUUAUGAAAUGAUCUUUACCUUCUACAUGUAAUAGGCAAUUUAAAAUUAAACUGGCCUGCUCCUCUGGGCUGCAACUAAACAUGCUAUAUUAUAUGCUAAGUAAUCAUGCUAAGUAUUCAGAAUUGAGAAGACAUCUGCUAGGCUUUCGAAAGACAUGAAAAGGAAAGAAACAGUACAAAAAUAGCUUUAGAGAGAAGUGGGUGCACUUUGAUUCUAGUCAGAGUCUCUUCUAUGAAACCAGAAACCUUUCUGGAAGAGAGACUGAGAGGCCACCCAACCCUCAUUCAAAGGAAACCUCCUUCUUAGAGAACAACACAUAUGCAUUGGGUCUCUUCUAUUUCAUCCUAUACUCCCCGUUAAGGAAGGGUUUUACAAGUUCCAUGAAGAGAUUUGUGAGCCAUCAGACCUCCCUUUUCUCCUGCCAUCUAUGAGUGAGGCUGUUAGACCAACAUCUUUAGAAAAGGUAUUCUAAGGGUAGGAUUCCUGGUCCUACGGAACUACACGGCCUCCAAGAGCAGAGGGCUUCAGACAUCUGACACGUUUAUAGCACCGAGCAGGUUCUACAGAGCCAGGAGUUUCUCUUGACUGUUCUAGUAAACAGAUGGAAGGUGACUUGUUUUGUGAGGCCCAAGAUAGGUAGGAAUGGACUUGUUUCUGCAGGGCUCCCUAGAGUUGGCCACCUCUGUUAUAGGAAGCUGUUCGGGACAUAUUCUUCUCGGAUUUUCCAAGAUCUCCCGUGUCUUCCGCAGAGCGCUUUAUGUGGACAAGGAGGUCGUAUUUCUCCCAGAUACAGGGAGACAUCUGCGCGAGUGUCGCCGUGCGAAUGCCUUUAUAGGACGACCUGAAGGGGGUCAAACCUUCUCACCGCUUUCCUCCAAUUUCUUCUCCCCUCCCAAUCCCCAGUACAAAGGAAUGGGAGAUGCCUGGAGCUUUUUUUGGCAAGGCAAGACUCAGGAGCAACAGAAUCUGGGAGGAAAAAAUUAAAAAAAGGAAGAGACGGAUUGGAUCCCGUAGGAACUGGAUUCAUGAGCAAAUUCGUGAUUUUUUAAAAAUCCAGGCAAAGAGGAAGCAACGAAUACAGCCGUUGUUGAAGUAACUAUGGCUGGCACAAAAGGGUGAAGAGACUGGAUAUCUUGAACUAAUUCAGCUAUUAAUUUAGAAUGCAUUUUUGUAUCUUUUUUGAUCCCGGUAACUAUUAAGAUUUGAUGGUAAUAGUUUUUAAGUGUGCCAAAGGAGUGUGGACACUUUUACACUGGCAAGCACUUCUACAGACACAUUUAAUUCACUUGCUUUCAGCAUUAGUUGACUUUGUUACCUUACGUGAAAAUUAAACUUUCUUUUUUCCCGAGUUUUUGGGAUUACAAUCACUUCCUCUUGUUCCAUGCAAAAAGUAUACUAUCUGAAAACAAAUGUAUGCUUUCAUGAAAGAAAGGCCCAACUACCUCCACUACUUCUUGGGGCAGUAUAUAGCGUAGGAUACUGUGCAUUUCCCAAAUCUGGCUGCUUUUUACCUGUGCAAAGGGAAUGGAAUCCUCUAUUCUGUGGCAAAAUUCUGCUAAUCAAAGACACAGAUACAUCAUGAGGAAGUCAGCAUCACAGGAAAGAAUGAUCAUCUGUAGCAGUAACCCUGCUUAUGUAUCAACAUGAUUUUAGUUAUAUCGGAUUUAUGGUCAAUGCCUGUAAGAAAGUUUUGAUUUAAUAAUUCCUUAUAUUCAUCAGUGUGGAGUAAGAACUGGUACUAGUUGGUCCACUGUUCUGAUUCUUUAAUUCAUAGUCUUAAUUAAGAAAUUUGCCCCCAUCCUUCAGCCAUUUCAGUCAAUUACAUAGCACUUCAAGUGCAGGCACAACUCUAGAUGACUCAAAACUAAAUAAUUACAAUUAAAACAAUAAAGCUCUCUCCCAAAGAUAAUAAAAAAUAAAUUAGUAAACAUCUACAUUAGUAACAACAACAUGACCAUUUAUGAAACCAUACUUUGAGUUCCACACAGUAAAUAUCAAUAAUACUUAAUCAAAUUUCACUUGACAGCCAUAAAAAAAGAGCUAGCAGGGGAAAGAGUGAUAUUUUUGACAAGGUGAAUGAUCAAAAGAAAUAGCUAUGAGAAAUAUUUUCAGGAGGAGGAUUUGGCACAACAAAUAAUUAAUAAACAUAACUUAUUUUUCAAAAACAUGACCACCUAUAAAAGCUAGCAUAAGAAGGUAGAAGUUCUCUUAAGUAUGGCAUAAAGAAUGCAAUUAAUUAAGGAGAAAUAUGUUAUAUUUUAGGUUAGAAUUAGUGAAGAAGGGACAUUAAACAUGUCAUUAAUGGAAAACCAGCAAAUCUUAAAGCUGUCAACUAGAUUGAAAAAAAUCCUUGUUCUUUUGGGGAGUGGAAAACUCGACCUUCAUUAGAACUUCAAAGAACAACCAUAGUGUUUAAAUGUUUCCCAUUUAAACUGCAAAGGGAGUCAGUUUAUGGCACUAGUUAUUUGCCAUUUCUAUCACCACUGACUGCACUACAGGUUUUCCAUUUUUCUAUUGACAAGGAAUUUAGCAUAGCUAUACCUUUUAAUAGUUUCACCACUCACAAAUGAGUGCCACAUAUAUCAUUCAAUGAUCUUGAGAUCAGUAUCAUGUGGCUGUAGUUCUUAUGGCUAUUUGUGCAGUACACUGCAGAUACCUAUGUCAUCUUUGUCAUUUUGCCUUCUAUUCCAUUCUGGCCCUGGCAACAUUAAGUGCCAUGAUGAUGUUAUUAAAGGUAAAGGUAAAGGUUUCCCUCGCACAUAUGUGCUAGUCGUUGCCGACUCUAGGGGGCGGUGCUCAUCUCCGUUUCAAAGCCGAAGAGCCAGCGCUGUCCGAAGAUGUCUCCGUGGUCAUGUGGCCAGCAUGACUCAACACCAAAGGCGCACGGAACGCUGUUACCUUCCCACCAAAGGUGGUCCCUAUUUUUUCUACUUGCAUUUUUACGUGCUUUCGAAACUACUAGGUUGGCAGAAGCUGGGACAAGUAACAGGAGCUCACCCCGUUACACGGCAGCACUAGGGAUUUGAAGCGCUGAGCUGCCGACCUUUCAAUCGACAAGCUCAACGUCCUAGCCCCUGAGCCACUGUGUCCCUUUAUGAUGUUAUUAUAGAUGGGAUAAUAAUAAUAGCACGUUCUCUAUUGGCUAUCUUCCUACUUCAGGAUUCUGCUACCAUCAGGUCAGAAGGGGAGUGCCAAAAGCAGUGACAUUCUCUUGCAAUAUUAAUCAAGAAUGGAGGGUCUUCGUUAUCAGUUACUUCCUCUGUUUCAGUCUGUGCCCCCAUGCCUGCAUCUAUCAGCUCAACUAUUUGUGAAUAUGGGUUUACCUUCUUUCAGAAAAAUACCACUCAUAUUCAGAAAUGGUUUGAUUGAUAAGUUAUUGUCACAGAGUAAUUUGUGAGGAGCAUCUGGAGAGCCGCCUCCUCCUUCUGCUUUACUACAUGUUCUACCUUAGCACCUUUCAUCAACAGACAACUUGACAGGAGACUAGACAGGCUGUUCCUAGGACCCCUGUAGUUAUUCUAUUGAGAACCAACUUAUAUCAGGGACAGUGGUUGGUGGUUGAUCUUUUCCACCAGCAAACAAGCUUGGUGGGCAGGAGAAAAAUGCCAGGGCCUUUCCUUGGUCCACAUUAAAUAAGGACAGUAUUUGUCAGCCUCACUGCUAUGGCAAAAUAAUGCUAUUUUUACAGUAGCCCUAGGAAUAAGAGUUAAAUCCCAUUUCACAAAUAAAGAAUUAAGGCUGAUACUGCCUGUCUUGCACAUUUGUACCUUACUUGCACCUAAAAACAAGACAAACAUGAUCUGCCAAAUCUCUUUUUUCUGCCAUGUGCCCAUGAGACGCUAUCUUCAUCUCACUCCCCAACCUGUAUAUAAAUUCUCAUUAGCUGUUCCAGCAUUAUUAAACUGGUAGUUUCCCCUCAAACUGGCAGCAAGCCACAAUACUUCCAAGGUAUGCAAAAUCUGAUGCAGUUUGUUGUUAGCAACUGAGCUCUGAUCAGCAAUUUCAGGCUAAGUCAGAACAUACUCCCCCACCCCGUCCUUGGGUCAUAAUGUUUUGGAAGUUGGACGGUCUGUCUCUCAGAGUCCAUAUUUCAGUUGUCUAGUGAAUCUCGGUAGGUAACAGGUUGGAAAGCAACAGUGUCUCUCACUGUAUCCAUUACUUCCUGUAUCCAUUACUUCCUGUACCUCAAGGAUCAGCUACCUCUCAGCCCCUGGGUGGUGGCAGGUUGGGAAGAACCACUCUUCCAUGGACAGCCUAUUAUACUGGGCAGGCCAAACAGUGUAGUUGUAUUUGAAAGUGCUGCACAAAUGUUCAAAAUGAAUUCUGAAUCAUGUAAAUCAAAUAUUGUGAUGUAGACAUAUAUUAAUAACAUGGCUUACAAUCUAUCUGAAUCCAUAACUUUUAUAACUGCUAAAUCAUGAACAGUGGAAGUAGUUCAGGGGGUAAACUAAAACCCUUUCCCCAUAGCACAGUUAAAAUGCUAUUUACCUGUACUUGAUCUGGCAGAACCUGUUCUCAUUGUAAAAUGUCCUAUCUGCUUCUCAUCUUAUUCUAUCCUUAAAGCCUCUAUCUUUGCUUGCCAUUGGAGAAAAUCCUGAUAUGGAUAUGCAGCCCAUUUUAAGUAAAACUAUUCCCUUAAUCCUCAGCCUUUACCCCUGUUCACUUUGCUCAAUAUCACUAGCCAAGAGGAAACCAUCUCCCAAACUCAGCACUUUUGACAUAUGGCUAGUAUUUUCAAUAUCUCUCUAAUGAUCUUUCUGCAUCUCUCUCUGGUGUUUUUUGUAUCUCUCUAGUGAUAAUCUGGAAUUUUGCAGCCCACGUUUGCUAGCCCCUCAAAAGGGCUAUACAUAUAGAAAAAUGAAAUGGCAGAAUCUCAGUUUAAGAAGAUUGUGUGCCAACUGAGAUAGCAUUGCAAUUACUGAGUGCUAUUGCAGUUAACCAAUAUAAUCAAAGAGACAUUUUGGUAAGUAAAAUAAAUGAUGUAUCCCAGAAAAACAACUUGAUUUUUGCUGUCCUUUGUGAAAUUUAUUUAAUAUGUUAUUUCAAUUUGAAUGGAUGCAAUUGAAACUUCAAAAUUCAGCCAUUUCAGUAUGAUGUACAUUUAGGCAGAGUACAUUUAGCUAGAGAUAAAAUGAAAAUAGUUGUAUCUAUUUGUGCCAUUGUAAUUUUUCACAUAUACAGUAUAUUUAUAUUAUAUGUAUAUAAUAUAUAAUAUCUACAUAAUCAUUAUUUCCAUGCGAGAAAUACGCUUUAAGCUCUUCUCAUUCUUGUAUGGUAAUAUUUCUCCUGUUGCAAUUUACAUACAUUAAACCGGAUCAUAAUCUAGCAUAGUAGGUUGCAACCUAGUAUGGAAACAAUUUUGUAUCAUUUACAUCACUAUCUGAGUCCAUGCAUCCUAAGAUUUCUGAUGGCCCAAAGGUCCACAGUCUCUUCUCCUCUACUUAAAACCUAAAAUUAAAUACAUUUUAGUUACGAAACUGUUUGUCAAACCCCUUAUUGGGCUUUUCAUGAUUAUCUCUUUUAGACAACAAAUGUACAAUUGUUAAUUAUUUGUUAUGUCAAAAUGUAACAUCCUCCUCCAGAAAGAAAUUCUGAUAGCUAUGGGGUUUUUUUUUGUCAUUCACCUUUAGUACAUGAAUGGUUUUGACACUGCCUUUUUCAGGAAUGUUUUCUCAAUUUCCCAAUGUAAUUGAUAGCUUUCAGAUUUGCUGGUCUUCCAAGGACUAAUCAGAUCUGACACCGUUUAGCUUUUCCAGGAUCAGUCGAGGUCAGCAAGGUGGAAUACCUGCUGU